Long non-coding RNA from Myodes glareolus (Bank vole), 723 nucleotides. RefSeq lists it as uncharacterized. The record is from RefSeq and is a predicted model, not a curated record. Lineage: Eukaryota; Metazoa; Chordata; Mammalia; Rodentia; Cricetidae.
GGCAAAACAACCAGUGGAGCAGCACUCGCGAUGCGCAUGCGGGAGGUACAGAACGUUCAGAAAGGAAAGGAAAGAAGACGGGGGGAGAACCAAAGGAGAAAGAUAACUGCUUAGUGAUGACGUAAAGAUGAGUGGGUGUGGCAUCUCCAACAUUCCCAAACCAAGUUUCCAUGCCAUGCAUCAUGAAUGGUUAGAGACUGGCUGAGCCUGCGGUCACUCGGGCCAGCCACCAUUUUCUUAUCUCGUGUUAACCACAGCUGGAUGCAAAAAAACGUUCGAAACGUUAACGAUGCCCCUACAGGGUGAGAUAAAAAAAAUCCCCACAUAGGGCCUGAAGAAAUGGCUGCUCACGCAGAGGACCUGGAUUUGCUUUAAAGCACCCAUAUGGACUACAACUAUCUGUGACUCAAGUUCUGGGGAAUCUACCAGCCUCUUCUGAUAUCUGCUAAAACCAAGUGUGAAUGUGCUGUAAUGUGGAUUGUUCUGGAAAGUGGACAGCUUCCUGGGAUGUUAUUACUUCUGACGAUGGAGACACUGAGGAGAACCAGCGGAAGCAGCCUUUUCAUUACUCCAGAGCAUCAUUCAAAUACCAUCGUCUUCUUUGGGCUUCAUGAUGUGCAGAUGAUUGGAAAGCAGAGGAUGCCUCAGGACCAUGGGGUUUUAACUCUUCCUUGUUACGGCAACAGCUUUGUGAACUGGAAUUAAAUUGGUAUGGAAUAGCAA